Long non-coding RNA from Acanthopagrus latus (yellowfin seabream), 253 nucleotides. RefSeq lists it as uncharacterized. The transcript is spliced from 3 exons. The record is from RefSeq and is a predicted model, not a curated record. Lineage: Eukaryota; Metazoa; Chordata; Actinopteri; Spariformes; Sparidae.
GCAAAACCAAGGAGCCUAAAAUGAAAGGAAAAAUCAGAAAGGGAAAGAAAACAAGGAGAGGGAGGACGACUCCUCACAUUUCUUUCAGAGGACAGGAGGAGGAGGAGGAGGUCACCUUUGCAUGAUGGGGCCAGAGGAACCUCCUGAUCAUGUAUUGCCAGCUAUGCACUUGUUGCCAAACACGCAAUGGUUGAACCAAUCAGCAUGAGCAUUGAGGAACCUCUGGCAGUUACAGGCAUGGUUUAGAUGUGAC